Molecule: non-coding RNA, 2316 nt
Organism: Amborella trichopoda
Lineage: Eukaryota; Viridiplantae; Streptophyta; Magnoliopsida; Amborellales; Amborellaceae
Source: RefSeq, a predicted model, not a curated record
CAAACAUACUCCAAAUGAAUGUACCAAGACCCCAAUUCUCACUGUCUUUUAAACUACCAGAGGGCCAAAGAAUACUUAUAAGGCCAUAGAGAGUCAUCUCUCUAGCCAAUUUAUGACUAAUACAUUACCCAAACUUUGCCUUAGAAAAAAUAACAUAUUUACUAUAUGUUACCUUUGGAUGUACGUGUCAAAACAAUAAAACUUUUAUGGCCACACAUGGUUUGUUCAGGACAUAUAUUGGUCCAGCGCCACGUUAUAGGCUUCUUACUGAACAGAAUUAGAUGGUGGUCCAUUGAGAAUAGUAGACAAACUUUUCCAAAUUUCAUCGUUGGACUUCCGAGGCGCUCUCUCUUUGCCAGAUUUUCCUUUCGUAGGUCAUAGGUUCAGGGUUUCAGGCCAUCUGUUUGUGAUUAGAUGCAUGCCAGACAUAUUUUGACGGUCGGACAGGUCGAAUCGAGGAGAUAUGAAUUGCUUUGGUAACCUUUUUUCUUCUCUAUAUAACAUUCUAUGUCUCCCAACCAUCAGAGGUUUUUUACAGCUGCGAUCGUUUCUGGGCAUUGUCACGGGUCAACAGUUGUUAGUGGCUUGACGUGGAUGCAGAUUGAUAGACCACUUGGGGAGUCAGAAAUUGCUACGAAAUAAUUGGUUUCAGGGCCAACAAGGAAAGGUAAAAAGAUUUUGGGGGUUGAUAAUGAUCGAGGGACAAAUUUGGCUUGCUUAUUUAUGUGGCAUUCACAGCUCUAAAGUGGGUUCCUUCUUGCAAGAUAUCUGCUCAGCAAGUCUGGAAAGAAAGAACUUGCUUUCUGAAUAACUUCAAAUCCUAUUGAAAGCUCAAUUAUGAGGAAAUUGGAUAUUGUGAUCAAGUAGCAAAAGUAGCUUGCAGUGUGAAAGGUUGUGAGUUGGGUUGUUAGUUUUUGUGAUAAUAUUAUAUCUUGCUUCUUUCCUUUGCAAUGCAUAUAUUUUAUGCUUUUCUAUUUGUCUUCCACUGGUUACAUCAAGGCCCGGUGUGUAGGUUUCUUGUAGUAAUAAGCAAAGGUCUUUUUUCUUAAAAAGAUCUUUGAUAUAGUUAGUUAUAUAUAAUGUAACCAUGUUCUGAUGUAUGUAUACCCCAAGUAUAUUCAAUAAGUGGUGAAUUUUCUUGAUGAUCUCUAAAGGGAAUUCAGUGUAGUUUCUCUGGUAGAUCUAGUAGUAUCUGAGUUGAGAAAAACAAAUUGGCAUCAUUAGUUUGUGAUUAGGCAGUUACUCCCGCCUAUAAAGUCAUACUUGUGAACUGAAACCUUAAUUUGGUUUUGGGCUUUUAGUCCUCCCAUCAUCCUGAGUAUAUGGAUUUGACAAAUCGCAUUACUAGUUGUACCAUGUUAUGUGAUUAGUUCUUUUAACCCUGCUUGGCUUUCACCCAUUUCUGUUUAAAGAUGCAGUUCAUGAGCUCCACUUGAGAAGUUUGUUACAGGCUCUCCUUGCAAUUUCUGAAGAACUUUAGCAGGCAAAGUGAAUUGUCUUCGAUUGAGAAGUCUUCGCUUUUAAAAUUGUUGCUUGAUAAGUGGUGAUGCUAUCAAACUCCUUGGUGCAGCUUUAAGUUCUAGGCUUGAGGAGUUGGUGCUCGUAAACUGUGAUAUCUUAGAGAGGAUUGGGCGUACUAACUUCUUUGUGGCAGCAUUUUAAACUGCUGAAGCAAUUGGAUGAGUCUUAUAACGAGGGCUUGGUCGAUAAAGAAUUUAUAUCGAUGCUUGCCUCCUGUCCAAGCUUGGUGGAAAUAAAGCUAUGGGGCUGUCAAGAAUUGGCUGAUAAUGUGGUUUUCUCUGUGUUCAAGUGUUGCCAAGCGAUAUUUGCAAAAUGCCAUAGGAUAUCGACUGAAGCUAUUGAAUUUCUUAUUCUGAACUCUUUGAAACUGGACAGAAUCUUGGUGGAAGAUGGUAAACUAUCAGACUUUGCUAGAAAUCAGGUGUCUUGGAAAAGAAUCGAACUUUCAUGACAAAGGCCUACAUGGAAGGAAGAAAGUAGGCCCCCUCCCUGAAACUCAGCUCAAUUCGAUCAAAACAGGCCACCAUUGCUUGGAAAAAAUGGGCAUUCUUGUGGCUGCUAAAUCAGUAAGCGCGUCGUUGUUAUUGUUUAAUUUAAUUAUCAUUGAAAAUCCCAUCUCCUUUUUGGUUACUGUAUUAUGGAUACUUCUAUUCCUGAAACUUGGCCAUCUUAUAAGUUAUUUUUAGUUCCAGAAAUUUAGCUGUAGAUGAAAACCUUCAACUGUAAAGUAAAACCCAACAAUGUCGAUAAAUCCUGUGGAUUAAUGGACCGAAGAAUAAAAAGAAAAUUGUAACC